GAGGAGGAAGAGAACCCUGCCGGCUGCUGCCUUUUUUUUUUUUUUAAUAACUUUUAUUUUUCGUAUCAUUUCCUAUAUACAGAAAAGUUGCAACCAUUCCUGUGUGCCCUUCAAUUCGAUUCUCCAGACAUUAACAUUCCCCUUAUUCUCUUUACCCUUUUAUUUUUUCUGAACCAUUGGGCAGUACAUUGCAGGCGUGAUGUUCCCUACCCCCAGAUAUUUGAGUGUGUUUCCGGAAAGCAAGGACAUUUUCUUGCAUCUGUUGUCAAGGUUGAGGCCUCUUUCACAAUCAUCCUUUCCCUCUUUGCCUUGGUGUGUUGCCUUCGCAACAAUUUGAAAUAUUGGUGUAGGUGUCGAAGAAGCAGAGACUGGGGGAACACUCCUUUUGCAAGGAUUCCAAUAGAGGGCACUUUGACCUGUCCCCGAGGAGGUCAAGUGUUAAGAGACGUCACUCUUCAGUCCCACCAACUUAUCUGAUCAACGUUUCUCAACGUUUACAGCUCUAAAAGUGAACACUUGAAUUAUUGACGCAGAACUCUGUUUCAUUUUAUGAUGUAUGAACCAAUUAAAAAAGAAAAAUCCAUGUUUAUAAAAAUA
Myotis lucifugus (little brown bat) is the source of this 597-nucleotide long non-coding RNA. RefSeq lists it as uncharacterized. The transcript is spliced from 2 exons. NCBI's taxonomy places the organism in Eukaryota, Metazoa, Chordata, Mammalia, Chiroptera, Vespertilionidae. The record is from RefSeq and is a predicted model, not a curated record.